AUUGAACGCUGGCGGCAGGCCUAACACAUGCAAGUCGAGCGGAUGAAGGGAGCUUGCUCCUGGAUUCAGCGGCGGACGGGUGAGUAAUGCCUAGGAAUCUGCCUGGUAGUGGGGGAUAACGUCCGGAAACGGGCGCUAAUACCGCAUACGUCCUGAGGGAGAAAGUGGGGGAUCUUCGGACCUCGCGCUAUCAGAUGAGCCUAGGUCGGAUUAGCUAGUUGGUGGGGUAAAGGCCUACCAAGGCGACGAUCCGUAACUGGUCUGAGAGGAUGAUCAGUCACACUGGAACUGAGACACGGUCCAGACUCCUACGGGAGGCAGCAGUGGGGAAUAUUAGACAAUGGGCGAAAGCCUGAUCCAGCCAUGCCGCGUGUGUGAAGAAGGUCUUCGGAUUGUAAAGCACUUUAAGUUGGGAGGAAGGGCAGUAAGUUAAUACCUUGCUGUUUUGACGGUACCAACAGAAUAAGCACCGGCUAACUUCGUG
This 484-nucleotide ribosomal RNA is filed under the name uncultured bacterium. RNAcentral's name for it is "partial 16S ribosomal RNA". It matches the Rfam family "Bacterial small subunit ribosomal RNA", at positions 30 to 507 of the family's 1533-position model. The record is from RNAcentral.